RNAcentral lists this ribosomal RNA (431 nucleotides) under Didymium squamulosum. Its description in RNAcentral is "SSU rRNA". It matches the Rfam family "Eukaryotic small subunit ribosomal RNA", at positions 1230 to 1644 of the family's 1831-position model. The record is from RNAcentral. Lineage: Eukaryota; Evosea; Eumycetozoa; Physariida; Didymiaceae.
ACACGUAUGAAAGACAAGCUGAAAGACUUUUCUCAAUGAUGUAAGUGGUGGUGCAUGGUCGUUCUUAGUUCGUGGAUUGAUUUGUCUGGUCUAUUCCGAUAACGAGCGAGACCCCGACGUUCCUAAUAGGGGCAGCAGCCCGACUCGCCUGCUUCGGUAGGCUUGUUAGCAGCUGCCUAAGAUUUACUUCUUAGACGUAUCAGAGCCGAUAAGGUUCUUGAAAUGGGUUAAUAACAGGUCAGUCAUGCCCUUAGAUGUUCUGGGCCGCACGCGCGUUACAAUGGUAUACAUUAGAACGUGCUCUCAAGGGCGUCUCCGCGGCCUACAGGUCGCGGUAACCCUUAAUCUCUCCCUUGACUGGGACAGACUAUUGCAAUUAUUGGUCUCCAACGAGGAAUUUUUAGUAGUCGCAGGUCAUUAACCUGCGACGA